RNAcentral lists this ribosomal RNA (253 nucleotides) under uncultured bacterium. RNAcentral describes it as "partial 16S ribosomal RNA". It matches the Rfam family "Bacterial small subunit ribosomal RNA", at positions 524 to 776 of the family's 1533-position model. The record is from RNAcentral.
UACGGAGGAUGCGAGCGUUAUCCGGAAUGAUUGGGCGUAAAGCGUCCGCAGGUGGCUAUGUAAGUCUGCUGUUAAAGAGUGAGGCUCAACCUCAUAAGAGCAGUGGAAACUACAUGGCUAGAGUGCGUUCGGGGCAGAGGGAAUUCCUGGUGUAGCGGUGAAAUGCGUAGAUAUCAGGAAGAACACCGGUGGCGAAAGCGCUCUGCUAGGCCGCAACUGACACUGAGGGACGAAAGCUAGGGGAGCGAAUGGG